RNAcentral lists this ribosomal RNA (473 nucleotides) under uncultured bacterium. RNAcentral's name for it is "bacterial SSU rRNA". It matches the Rfam family "Bacterial small subunit ribosomal RNA", at positions 30 to 497 of the family's 1533-position model. The record is from RNAcentral.
AUUGAACGCUGGCGGCAUGCUUUACACAUGCAAGUCGAACGGUAACAGCACUUCGGUGGCUGACGAGUGGCGAACGGGUGAGUAAUGUAUCGGAACGUGCCCAGUAGUGGGGGAUAACUACUCGAAAGAGUGGCUAAUACCGCAUGAGAUCUCUGGAUGAAAGCGGGGGACCGUAAGGCCUCGCGCUACUGGAGCGGCCGAUAUCAGAUUAGGUUGUUGGUGGGGUAAAGGCCUACCAAGCCUGCGAUCUGUAGCUGGUCUGAGAGGACGACCAGCCACACUGGGACUGAGACACGGCCCAGACUCCUACGGGAGGCAGCAGUGGGGGAAUUUUGGACAAUGGACGCAAGUCUGAUCCAGCAAUGCCGCGUGCAGGACGAAGGCCUUCGGGUUGUAAACUGCUUUGUACGGUAACGAAGAGCCUCUUCUAAUACAGGAGGGUCAUGACGGUACCGUAACGAAUAAGCACCGGC